Molecule: ribosomal RNA, 421 nt
Filed under: uncultured Bacteroidota bacterium
Lineage: Bacteria; Pseudomonadati; Bacteroidota
Description: bacterial SSU rRNA
Rfam family: Bacterial small subunit ribosomal RNA
Source: RNAcentral
AGUCGAGGGGUAGAGAGAGCUUGUUUCUUGAGACCGGCGCACGGGUGCGUAACGCGUAUGCAACCUACCUUCAUCUGGGGGAUAGCCCGGAGAAAUCCGGAUUAACACCGCAUAAAAUCACAGUCCCACCUGGGACAAUGAUCAAAUAUUUAUAGGAUGGAGAUGGGCAUGCGUGUCAUUAGCUAGUUGGCGGGGUAACGGCCCACCAAGGCGACGAUGACUAGGGGAUCUGAGAGGAUGGCCCCCCACACUGGUACUGAGACAUGGACCAGACUCCUACGGGAGGCAGCAGUAAGGAAUAUUGGUCAAUGGAGGCAACUCUGAACCAGCCAUGCCGCGUGCAGGAAGACUGCCCUAUGGGUUGUAAACUGCUUUUAUUCGGGAAUAAACCUAUUUACGUGUAGAUAGCUGAAUGUACCGA